This is a long non-coding RNA of Thamnophis elegans (Western terrestrial garter snake), 667 nucleotides long. RefSeq lists it as uncharacterized. The record is from RefSeq and is a predicted model, not a curated record. Lineage: Eukaryota; Metazoa; Chordata; Lepidosauria; Squamata; Natricidae. The transcript is spliced from 3 exons.
CCGCGGCUGCCACCAAUUUCUCCCCCCGCGUCACUGAAGCGCAGCGAGGCCUCCGCCUCCCCUCCGAAGACGCGCGUCUUCCCGAUCGAGGCUUUACAGAAGCAUCCUAACUCCCUUGUGUACUCUGUGUCAGAACUACACUACUUACGACCGCAAAACACUGAAUGGCUGUUGGGUACAUAUGAAUAAACAUUUCUAACUCAGCUGCCAACCAACGAUCAUCCAUAUGUCUACAAACCAGAAAUGGAAGCUUAUAAUUUCUUGUUGUCAAUUUGUAGCCAGCUCUUUCUUAUAACCAUUUCUGGGGGAAAAUAAGCCAGUAUAUUCAGUUCCCUAUUCCCAGAGAAAGUAGAUGUCAUUUUCUCCAAGAAACAAAAAGUAAAGUACAGAGACCAAGUGACUUCGCUUGCGCUACUUCAAUAACUCAUACAAUCUGAGUCCUGGGAAAGAGUUGAAACCUCAGUGUGAGGUCUUGGAGGCUAGGGUCUCACCAUCUUCCGUUGUAUUAAUUUGGUGGAAUUAGCAAGUAUUUUAAACAUCAAUUUGUAUGAACAUCAAAAUCAAAGUUCAAUUUUCUCCCCUGUCAAAAACAGUCAUUUAUUCAUUUCUAAGGGCUAGGGGGGAUUUUCAAGCAGUCUAUAAUUACUAUAAAUUCUUAAACAGUCUA